RNAcentral lists this long non-coding RNA (896 nucleotides) under Monodelphis domestica (gray short-tailed opossum). Its description in RNAcentral is "lncRNA (ENSMODG00000044549.1)". The record is from RNAcentral. Lineage: Eukaryota; Metazoa; Chordata; Mammalia; Didelphimorphia; Didelphidae.
AAAGAGACAGAGGGAGAGAUUAAGAAAGCUCUCUUUAACACUAUGAAAAGAUUUGCUAAAAAUAUUCACAGAUAUAUGAGUCAUUUUCUAUUUCCUUGAGGUUAUAGACCAAUUUGGAUACUGACUUCUUCAAAAAGGGGUCACCAGAAUCAUGAGAAGACUUGACAAUCCUAUUGUAUGACUGAAGGAACUAGGAAUGUUUCCUCCAUAAGAAGAAACUUAGGGACAUAUCAAUAUAUUCAUUAUUUGAAGGGCUGUCAUUUCUAGGAGGAGAUCGGAUUUCUGUUUGUUUUCAGGAGAUAGAACCAGGUGUCAGUGGUGAGGAGGGGAAGUCUUUACCUGCUUGGAGUAGAUAUCUCCCUGAUUCACUGAUGAUAGUUUUGAGGUUUGUUGGAUACCCUCCACCUGGCUUAGCCUGUCUACUGAGAUGGUUUUCCUUGGCCAUGUUUGUUGCCCAUGCUACAGCUUCUUGGAGUCACAGUAAUUGCCAAGAUGGCAAUCCACAAUGAAGCAAGUCUGACCUUUCUCAAGAAGGCUAAACCUCCUGGUCCAUGAUCAUGGGUUCUAGGGCAUCAGAGAAUCUCUUCAUUGGGUUAAAAGUUGGAAAGAGCAGCAACUCAGACCACACAAAAGAUUAUCUCAAAGGAGAAGCUUGGGAAGCAUAAAAAAGAAUCAUGAACUUGGGUUGAAGUCCAGUCUUGGAUACUUUCUAAUCACAACGCUUCUUCUUAGACCUUCUUCACAUAUCAAAUUAACAAGAUAACAUAGCUGACCAUUGAUAUUGAUGACCCUUCUUAAAUUCCCCAGGCCAAAAAUGGUAUGCAGCAUUAUUAAGCAUAAGCUAUGACUUUCCUUAGGUGAAGGGGAUGCAGGUAAUAAAAACCCACUCUAUCCCA